RNAcentral lists this small RNA (54 nucleotides) under Arabidopsis thaliana (thale cress). Its description in RNAcentral is "ATSL297340". Lineage: Eukaryota; Viridiplantae; Streptophyta; Magnoliopsida; Brassicales; Brassicaceae. The record is from RNAcentral.
UCUAAAUUUUAAUUAAUUUAAUUUAAUUAGAAAAACGAAAUACAUUAUUAAUUU